UUACCUCUGCUGGCGGAGCGGACAAAGUUUUACAUCAGAAGAUGACAAGAAUGCAGUAAGAAGAAAUCCAUUGACAGCCACAGCUACAGACCAGGAUAUUGAGCAGUGGAUUCGAAGGUGGCUCCAUCUUGCUGGGGACAGAGAAGGAGGACGCCGAGCCAGGCAGCGGCCUGAGUAAACUGACUGUUCUGCCGAAAGAAUUUCUGAUGUUACUUGUUGUAGUAGUAGUUCUUGUUUUAAAUGUUUA
Salarias fasciatus (jewelled blenny) is the source of this 247-nucleotide long non-coding RNA. RefSeq lists it as uncharacterized. The record is from RefSeq and is a predicted model, not a curated record. The transcript is spliced from 3 exons. Lineage: Eukaryota; Metazoa; Chordata; Actinopteri; Blenniiformes; Blenniidae.